Molecule: ribosomal RNA, 557 nt
Filed under: uncultured bacterium
Lineage: Bacteria
Description: partial 16S ribosomal RNA
Rfam family: Bacterial small subunit ribosomal RNA
Source: RNAcentral
UGGGGAAUUUUGGACAAUGGGCGCAAGCCUGAUCCAGCCAUGCCGCGUGCGGGAAGAAGGCCUUCGGGUUGUAAACCGCUUUUGUCAGGGAAGAAAUCUUCUGAGUUAAUACCUCGGGAGGAUGACGGUACCUGAAGAAUAAGCACCGGCUAACUACGUGCCAGCAGCCGCGGUAAUACGUAGGGUGCAAGCGUUAAUCGGAAUUACUGGGCGUAAAGCGUGCGCAGGCGGUUUUGUAAGACAGAGGUGAAAUCCCCGGGCUCAACCUGGGAACUGCCUUUGUGACUGCAAGGCUUGAGUGCGGCAGAGGGGGCAUGGAAUUCCGCGUGUAGCAGUGAAAUGCGUAGAUAUGCGGAGGAACACCGAUGGCGAAGGCAAUCCCCUGGGCCUGCACUGACGCUCAUGCACGAAAGCGUGGGGAGCAAAACAGGAUUAGAUACCCCUGGGUAGUCCACGCCCUAAAACGAUGUCAACUGGUUGUUGGGAAGGUUCCUUCUCAGUAACGUAGCUAACGCGUGAAGUUGACCGCCUGGGGAGUACGGCCGCAAGGUUGAAAC